GGCCAGGGUAGUCCUAAUGAGGAGUCACAGGACUGAUUGAGUUGAGCAUGAUUCGAAUGAUCUGAUCAGAGUUGACAGUUUAACCCUGAGUCAUCCUAUACAUAGGGGUCAAAAGGGAUGAAUUAUAUAGUAACCAUAUUCGCAUAGGUUCUGAAUAUUGUGAUUGUGACUAUUCAACCUAUCUGGAUGUCGGAUACCAUUGCUAGAUAAUCACUUUGAUUAGUACAGGAAUUGGU
RNAcentral lists this long non-coding RNA (236 nucleotides) under Elaeis guineensis (African oil palm). RNAcentral's name for it is "long non-coding RNA (EGUI_LNC065669)". Lineage: Eukaryota; Viridiplantae; Streptophyta; Magnoliopsida; Arecales; Arecaceae. The record is from RNAcentral.